This 234-nucleotide ribosomal RNA is filed under the name uncultured bacterium. Its description in RNAcentral is "partial 16S ribosomal RNA". It matches the Rfam family "Bacterial small subunit ribosomal RNA", at positions 104 to 334 of the family's 1533-position model. The record is from RNAcentral.
CGGGACGGGGUGAGUAAUGUCUGGGAAACUGCCCGAUGAGGGGGGAUAACUACUGGAAACGGUAGCUAAUACCGCAUAACGUCGCAAGGCCAAAGAGGGGGACCUUAGGGCCUCUUGCCAUCGGAUGUGCCCAGAUGGGAUUAGCUAGUAGGUGGGGUAAUGGCUCACCUAGGCGACGAUCCCUAGCUGGUCUGAGAGGAUGACCAGCCACACUGGAACUGAGACACGGUCCAG